This 497-nucleotide ribosomal RNA is filed under the name uncultured bacterium. RNAcentral's name for it is "partial 16S ribosomal RNA". It matches the Rfam family "Bacterial small subunit ribosomal RNA", at positions 28 to 507 of the family's 1533-position model. The record is from RNAcentral.
GAUGAACGCUGGCGGCGUGCCUAAUACAUGCAAGUCGAGCGAACGGACGAGAAGCUUGCUUCUCUGAUGUUAGCGGCGGACGGGUGAGUAACACGUGGAUAACCUACCUAUAAGACUGGGAUAACUUCGGGAAACCGGAGCUAAUACCGGAUGAUAUUUUGAACCGCAUGGUUCAAAAGUGAAAGACGGUCUUGCUGUCACUUAUAGAUGGAUCCGCGCUGCAUUAGCUAGUUGGUAAGGUAACGGCUUACCAAGGCAACGAUGCAUAGCCGACCUGAGAGGGUGAUCGGCCACACUGGAACUGGGCCACGGUCCAGACUCCUACGGGAGGCAGCAGUAGGGAAUCUUCCACAAUGGGCGAAAGCCUGACGGAGCAACGCCGCGUGAGUGAUGAAGGUCUUCGGAUCGUAAAACUCUGUUAUUAGGGAAGAACAUAUGUGUAAGUAACUGUGCACAUCUUGACGGUACCUAAUCAGAAAGCCACGGCUAACUACGUG